RNAcentral lists this small RNA (577 nucleotides) under chicken gut metagenome. The record is from RNAcentral.
UAAGCGAAGGCGCAGUAUUCUAGUCAACUAAAGCAAAUGAGGGUGCCGAAAUAAGCAUCGCUGGCAAAACUGUGAAGUUCGUGGUGCUGGCUUUGAUUGCCCAAAUCGGGGCUGGUGCUGGGAGUUAAGAUUUUUGGGAGAUACAUAAUGGCAUAUGUGUUAAUCCCCAAUUAUCGUGGAGACCUUAUCUGGUAGGUAGAGUAGUGAUUGGCUACGAUCUAUCACUAAGGAUUGAACCUGCAUAUGGCGAAAGUUAUGUGCAGUGUAGCCUGCUUUGAGUGCGAGUGUUGGGAUAGGGCGACAACUUAAAAUACUUUCAAAGUACACGAAAAUUUUAAGUUGCCUUUGAAAUCGCGAGUGCAAAAUAAAGAUAAGUUUGUUUGAUGUUGUUAAGGAAAACUUCUAGGCUGUUCAUUAGAGAUUUUCAGGGGAUUAUAGUGUGGUCUAAGUGGCGAUUCGGUGCAAGUUUUGCGUAAAGGGAAACCGCUUGGCUGGUAACGGACAAGUGCAAAAUUGGGAAAUCCAACCGAACCUAUGCCGCAAGGUUUACCUUGAAAAUUGCCUUCGUUAUUUUUAA